UGAAGGGAAGAAAGAAAGAGAAAAUGGACCAAAAGAAAUUGCAAAAAGAGUAUAUAUUAUCUAGUUGGUAUGGAAUGGGAUGAUGAGACGGCAUUUGUCUUGGCUGAAACUAUAGAUGGUAAUGAAAGAGAGAAUAAAUUCCUUUGAAAAAAUACUUAUACAGAUGAAGCUAGAUUUAAUAACCAGUUUACUAAUGCACAAGCACCACAUUAUUUGUACGUUUUUACAAAAUUUAAAAUUAUU
Molecule: long non-coding RNA, 243 nt
Organism: Amphimedon queenslandica
Lineage: Eukaryota; Metazoa; Porifera; Demospongiae; Haplosclerida; Niphatidae
Exons: 3
Source: RefSeq, a predicted model, not a curated record